Long non-coding RNA from Manihot esculenta (cassava), 453 nucleotides. RefSeq lists it as uncharacterized. The transcript has 4 exons. The record is from RefSeq and is a predicted model, not a curated record. Lineage: Eukaryota; Viridiplantae; Streptophyta; Magnoliopsida; Malpighiales; Euphorbiaceae.
AAAAAGCUUUUGCUUUCUUAUCUUCCAUUUCCACCAUAUUUCACCAAAAAGAUAAAAUCUCCAGCCACACAAAAUCUGUUCUUAAGUGUAAUAACCAGCAAGGAAACCAUAGAAAGGGAGGAAAGAAGGAGAGAAGUUAAGGUGCUUAAGUGAACAAACUCAAAGGGAGGAAGGUACAUCAAAGGGGAAAGGCAAGGAAAAAUAGUAACUAAGGUGUACCUAAAGAUUUUGAAAAGAAUUUACAAAAGGUAAUAAAUAGAGGAAGCAACAGUUAGGAGGUCUGGUUCUGCAUCAGCACAGAGACAUCAUCAUAACCAGUUGUUCACAAGAUUUGUCCAGAGAGAGGAUGUCUGAGGAAUCACAACGUGCUAUAGAUGAGGAGGUGGGAAGUCAUGCCCCCUCAGAACCCAUUGAGCCAGCAGUUGCACCAGCCCCUCAUGGUGAAGAUAGGCA